This 2289-nucleotide long non-coding RNA is filed under the name Salmo salar (Atlantic salmon). RNAcentral describes it as "lncRNA (ENSSSAG00000085343.1)". The record is from RNAcentral. Lineage: Eukaryota; Metazoa; Chordata; Actinopteri; Salmoniformes; Salmonidae.
CCUUCCUCCCUCCAUAUUCCUCCCUCUGUCAUCUCUCUUCCUCCCUCCAUCUUCUCUCUUACUCCCAUUCAAACCUCCAGCAACAUCUUACCACCUUUCCCUCUAUCUCUCUUUCCCUCGUCAUCUCCCUCUGUGCCUCGUCAUCUCCCUCUGUCCCUCGUCAUCUCUAUCUUUCCCUCGUCAUCUCCCUCUGUCCCUCGUCAUCUCCCUCUGUCCCUCGUCUUCUCUCUCUGUCCCUCGUCAUCUCUCUCUUUCCCUCGUCAUCUCCCUCUGUCCCUCGUCAUCUCUCUCUGUCCCUCGUCAUCUCCCUCUGUCCCUCGUCAUCUCUCUCUGUCCCUCGUCAUCUCCCUCUGUCCCUCGUCAUCUCUCUCUGUCCCUCGUCAUCUCCCUCUGUCCCUCGUCAUCUCCCUCUGUCCCUCGUCAUCUCCCUCUGUCCCUCGUCAUCUCUCUCUGCAUCCUUCUGUCUCCUUCCAUCCCUCUCCCCCUCACACCUCAAGGGACAUAUUUAUCAAAUUUAUCUCUCAACAUGCUUCCUUAACCUUACUGUAAUCCCCCUCUCUUUAUAUCUCUCCAUCUCUCCCUCAUCCCUCCAUCUCAUCCUCCAUCCUUCCAUCUCUUCCUCCAUCCAUCUCUCACAACCAGCCCCAUAAUAUAGAGAUGAGUACUGCCUUAUCACAACCAGCCCCAUAAUAUAGAGGUGAGUACUGCCUUAUCACAACCAGCUCCAUAAUGCAGAGGUGAGUACUGCCUUAUCACAACCAGCCCCAUAAUAUAGAGAUGAGUACUGCCUUAUCACAACCAGUCCCAUAAUGCAGAGAUGAGUACUGCCUUAUCACAACCAGCCCCAUAAUAUAGAGAUGAGUACUGCCUUAUCACAACCAGUCCCAUAAUGCAGAGAUGAGUACUGCCUUAUCACAACCAGCCCCAUAAUGCAGAGAUGAGUACUGCCUUAUCACAACCAGCCCCAUAAUAUAGAGAGGAGUACUGCCUUAUGACAACCAGUCCCAUAAUGUAGAGAUGAGUACUGCCUUAUCACAACCAGCCCCAUAAUGUAGAGAUGAGUUCUGCCUUAUCACAACCAGCCCCAUAAUGUAGAGAGGAGUACUGCCUUAUGACAACCAGCCCCAUAAUAUAGAGAGGAGUACUGCCUUAUGACAACCAGCCCCAUAAUGUAGAGAGGAGUACUGCCUUAUGACAACCAGCCCCAUAAUAUAGAGAGGAGUACUGCCUUAUGACAACCAGCCCCAUAAUAUAGAGAUGAGUACUGCCUUAUCACUGACAAUGGGAAAUGAAAGGUAAAUAUUUGUAAAGAAAAUGAAAAAUAAGUAACUUUGUUAGACAAUAGUAGGUGUAUAAAUGAUUUAUUAUAUAUUUAAUAUAUGUACUUAGAGAUCCAGUUGUUUCUUUAUAAUGGUCAGUAUAUUGUGUAAACAAUUAUUAUGAGACUUAUGAAACCAUUCAAAAUGCAUGCAAGUCUGAGAUGUCUCUGACUCCUCACAGUAGAGGUUGGCAGCCAUUUAUACAAGGAAUUGAUUUUUAAUUCCAUUUCAAGCGGACCUUCCCAAGUCUGAGCGUGGCUCUACCUGACUGAUCUGUUAGAUGAACUGAUGAAUAAUAUUCACAACUCUAAAUGUAAUUUGUGUCUAGAUUCAACAGGGAUGUUGGCCCAUGUUGACUCCAAUGCUUCCCACAGUGGUGUCAAGUGUCAAGGCUGGAUGUCCUUUGGGUGGUGGACCAUUCUUCAUACACACGGGAAACUGUUGAAUGUGGGAAAACCCAGCAGCGUUGCAGUUCUUGACACACUCAAACCGGUGCGCCUGGCACCUAUUACCAUAACUCGGUGGUAUGGUAUCAAUCGACUCUCUUCAUUAAAAUAUUGACUUUAAAACUAUGCCUCUGAUGUGUUUCUUCAUCACCAACAGGAAAUACUAGUUUAAGUAUAGUGACAGUUUGUUUCCCAACAGGAAAGACUAGUUUAAGUAUAGUGACAGUUUGUUACCCAACAGGAAAGACUAGUUUAAGUAUAGUGACAGUUUGUUUCCCAACAGGAAAGACUAGUUUAAGUAUAGUGACAGUUUGUUUCCCAACAGGAAAGACUAGUUUAAGUAUAGUGACAGUUUGUUACCCAACAGGAUUUAUUUCUCCAUGUGCUCCUGUGUCAAAAGGCCAUUUCAGUCAUCCCAACGACAGUUACACAUUUUGGAUGUGUUGAGUGAUUACUGCAUAUUAACUUAAUUAAACAGUCUUUAUAUGGAUCGUCCCAAAGCAGAUCUACAGAGGGAAACUAAG